RNAcentral lists this ribosomal RNA (397 nucleotides) under uncultured bacterium. RNAcentral's name for it is "bacterial SSU rRNA". It matches the Rfam family "Bacterial small subunit ribosomal RNA", at positions 30 to 429 of the family's 1533-position model. The record is from RNAcentral.
AUUGAACGCUGGCGGCAUGCCUUACACAUGCAAGUCGAACGGCAGCACGGGAGCAAUCCUGGUGGCGAGUGGCGGACGGGUGAAUAAUGUAUCGGAACGUACCUUUCAGUGGGGGAUAACGUAGCGAAAGUUACGCUAAUACCGCAUAUUCUGUGAGCAGGAAAGCAGGGGAUCGCAAGACCUUGCGCUGAUUGAGCGGCCGAUAUCAGAUUAGCUAGUUGGUGAGGUAAAGGCUCACCAAGGCGACGAUCUGUAGCGGGUCUGAGAGGAUGAUCCGCCACACUGGAACUGAGACACGGUCCAGACUCCUACGGGAGGCAGCAGUGGGGAAUUUUGGACAAUGGGCGCAAGCCUGAUCCAGCCAUGCCGCGUGAGUGAAGAAGGCCUCGGUUGUAAG